This 28-nucleotide non-coding RNA is filed under the name Cricetulus griseus (Chinese hamster). The record is from RNAcentral. Lineage: Eukaryota; Metazoa; Chordata; Mammalia; Rodentia; Cricetidae.
GUGGAGGGUCUGGCAAGGGUCUGAGACU